This 253-nucleotide ribosomal RNA is filed under the name uncultured bacterium. RNAcentral describes it as "partial 16S ribosomal RNA". It matches the Rfam family "Bacterial small subunit ribosomal RNA", at positions 524 to 776 of the family's 1533-position model. The record is from RNAcentral.
UACGAAGGGUGCUAGCGUUGCUCGGAAUCACUGGGCGUAAAGGGUGCGUAGGCGGGUCUUUAAGUCAGGGGUGAAAUCCUGGAGCUCAACUCCAGAACUGCCUUUGAUACUGAAGAUCUUGAGUUCGGGAGAGGUGAGUGGAACUGCGAGUGUAGAGGUGAAAUUCGUAGAUAUUCGCAAGAACACCAGUGGCGAAGGCGGCUCACUGGCCCGAUACUGAUGCUGAGGCACGAAAGCGUGGGGAGCAAACAGG